RNAcentral lists this ribosomal RNA (2041 nucleotides) under Sphenomonas teres. Its description in RNAcentral is "partial small subunit ribosomal RNA". It matches the Rfam family "Eukaryotic small subunit ribosomal RNA". Lineage: Eukaryota; Euglenozoa; Stavomonadea; Petalomonadida; Sphenomonadidae. The record is from RNAcentral.
AGUCUCAGAGUAACUGGAUUGAGAAGAGGUCUGCGUACGGCUCAUUACAUCAUCAAUGAUCUACCCAGCAACGGUCCUGUUUCAGGUCCCAAUUGGAUAACUUCGGUAACUCUGAAGCUAAUACACGUAUGAAGAAGCUUGCCCCCGUUCAAGCCCCAAGGGGAAACCCGAGGGGUGGGGGUGGGUUGCAGUUGACCGGUACGAGAACCAACGGUUUUCAAAGACCAGCACAUUAACUGUUGAGGCAGGUCAAUAUUGCUAAAGCGCACAUCCUUGCGAUGGCGCGACGCUGGACGAAUUUAUGCCCUAUCAGCUACGAUGGUUGGGCAGUGGCCAACCAUGGCUUUGACGGGUAACGGGGAAUUGGGGUUCGAUUCCGGAGAGGGUGCCUGAGAGAUGGCAACCAUACCUAAGGGAAGCAGCAGGCGCGCAAAUUACCCAAUGCCAACACUGGUGAGGUAGCGACGAAAAAUAACAACUCUGCUGCACACACGUGUAGUGGAGAUUGUAAUGGAUUGUAUCCAAACCCACUGCUGAGUAUCAAUUGGAGGGCAAGCCCGGUGCCAGCAGCCGCGGUAAUUCCGGCUCCAAUAGCGUAUAUUAAUGUUGUUGCGGUUAAAAAGCUCGUAGUUGGAUUCAGGGCUUGUGGUUGUGGCGAGCCGUGCUGUUCGAUCGGACUCUGUUCGGUCGGCGGUGUGGGUUCAACUCGUCACAUCAGACCAUGACCCUUUGUACGUGGUAACGGUCAGUUGAUGAAGGUCUCUUCGUUGAGAUUGGAUUCGCCCUCGCUGUCAAGACACAGCUUACACUGCGACCGCGGAUGUUACUGUGAGUAAAACAGAAUGCUUCAGGUAACCGACUUGUUCGGUCUGAAUGAUUCAGCAUGGAAUAACAAGGGAUCGACCACUUUUGGCUUCUUUUGUUGGUUUUCACGCCAUAGUGCGGCAACUCGGUUCAGGAUUCUGGCUGGGUACGUGCGGUGUGUCUCCGGAUGUGCCGUACGCCUGGUCAGGCCCUGUUUCCAUCGGGAUCAACAGAGGUAGUUGGGGUGAUCCGUACUUCGUGGUGAGAGGUGAAAUUCUUAGACCCACGAAAGACGAACAUCAGCGAAGGCAGUUCACCAAUCUGCUUUCAUUAAUCAAGAACGAGAGUAAGGGGAUCGAAGAUGAUCAGAUACCGUCGUAGUCCUUUACCGUAAAUUAUGCGAACUUGGGAUUGGUCACUGCUCUCUUAGUGACUUGAUCAGCACCUCCACCUGGAUCGAGAAAUCAAAGUUUUUGCGUUCCGGGGGGAGUACAUUCGCAAGGCUGAAACUUAAAGGAAUUGACGGAAUGACACCACCAGACGUGGAGUGUGUGGCUUAAUUUGACUCAACACGGGGAAUUUUACCAGGUCAGGACAUGGCAAGGAUUGCCAGAUUGAGAGCUCUUGCAUGAUUCCAUGGAGGGUGGUGCAUGGCCGUUCUUGGUUGGUGGAGUGAUUUGUCUGCUUAAUUGCGUUAACGAACGAGAUCUCUGCCAAUAAAUAGAUGCUCCUUCCGUUCUGUAAGCUGUCAAGGUCUCCCCGGGCUUUCGGGCUUUGUGGAUCCUUGGGCUGAGGAGGGAGAGGUUUACUUAUUGGGAUUAUGCAUUUUUCCAAAUGCAUUGAGACAAGAGCCAAUAGCAGGUCUGUGAUGCUCCUUAAAUGUUCUGGGCCGCACGCGCACUACACUGAUACAGACAACGAGUAACGCUUCUGCGUCCUGGAUCGAAGGGUUCGGGAAAUCUUUGAAGCCUGUAUCGUGAUGGGGAUAGAUGAUUGCAAUUAUUCGCCUUGAACGAGGAAUGUCUAGUAGGCACGUUUCAUCAGAACGUACCGAUUAUGUCCCUGUCAUUUGUACACACCGCCCGUCGUUGCUACCGAUUGGUUUAUGCGUAGAAGCAUUUGGAGCGGCGUCAUGUUGGUCUCGGCCAGCGUGGUGCUGCAAAAUUUGCUGAUAUUUGUAAACUAGAGGAAGCAAAAGUCGUAACAAGGUUACUGUAGGUGAACCUGCAGAAGGAUC